Rhinolophus ferrumequinum (greater horseshoe bat) is the source of this 507-nucleotide long non-coding RNA. RefSeq lists it as uncharacterized. The transcript has 3 exons. The record is from RefSeq and is a predicted model, not a curated record. Lineage: Eukaryota; Metazoa; Chordata; Mammalia; Chiroptera; Rhinolophidae.
GAUCUGUAAUGUCAUUAUAAUCUAAUUUACAUUGCUGUUACUGAGGCUACCAUUGUGCACCUGACAUCAUGACAGUUCCGGAGGAAACAAAUAAGGACAAAAAGAGGGGAAACGAGAUCCCACCACUAGAAAGGAGGAGACAGGGUGACAUCUCCAAAUUCCUAAAAGAGAGAGAAGAUCCUUGAUAUCAGAAGAUCCUUGGUAGCAGCAUUAGGAGGACAAGCCUUCCAUCACACUUCCUGUCCAUUCCUACUCAGAUCCAGAAUCAGGGUUUAUCCCCCAUGUGUCUAUGAAGACUACAUUGGGUGAGCACCCUACCUCAGUUGCUUCCUCCAAGGUUCUCCUGUGUAACCCGGAAAAGGAACAGAUCACUUGUUUUUGGUUUGUGGCACCAUAGAAAGGAUCACAUUCAGCAGAGAGUUUUAAAAAUUGAUCUUUUGUACCAAGUCUUAGCUCAUGGAACUUCAAACAUCCCUGUAUGAAAACAUUAUUGAACACAAUGUGAAC